Long non-coding RNA from Tupaia belangeri chinensis (Chinese tree shrew), 232 nucleotides. RefSeq lists it as uncharacterized. The record is from RefSeq and is a predicted model, not a curated record. Lineage: Eukaryota; Metazoa; Chordata; Mammalia; Scandentia; Tupaiidae. The transcript is spliced from 3 exons.
GUACAACGAGAAACAUAAAUACAGAAGAUACACAAAAGAAAUUUAACAUCCACUUUUGCAACAUGACAAAGACAUCAAGAAUGACCUAAGGAUCCGGGCUGAAAUGCCUUCCAGCUCCUGUCACCAUCACUCUGGAAUCCCAGCCUCCACCCGCCGUUGCCCUGCCGGAACGAGAAGUGAGGAAGAGCAAAAGCGGCCCCACUUCUUACACCUCCUGCCUCGCAGUGCCGUA